This 253-nucleotide ribosomal RNA is filed under the name uncultured bacterium. RNAcentral describes it as "partial 16S ribosomal RNA". It matches the Rfam family "Bacterial small subunit ribosomal RNA", at positions 524 to 776 of the family's 1533-position model. The record is from RNAcentral.
UACAGAGGGUGCAAGCGUUAUUCGGAAUUAUUGGGCGUAAAGAGCGCGUAGGCGGUUUGAUAAGUCUGGUGUGAAAUCCCUGGACUCAAUUCAGGAAGCGCAUUGGAUACUGUCAGACUAGAGUGCAGGAGAGGUGAGCGGAAUUCCCGGUGUAGAGGUGAAAUUCGUAGAUAUCGGGAGGAACAACAGUGGCGAAGGCGGCUCACUGGAAUGUGAAUGAAGCUGAGGCGCGAAAGCGGGGGGAGCAACCAGG